Phascolarctos cinereus (koala) is the source of this 919-nucleotide non-coding RNA. The record is from RefSeq and is a predicted model, not a curated record. NCBI's taxonomy places the organism in Eukaryota, Metazoa, Chordata, Mammalia, Diprotodontia, Phascolarctidae.
AGCAGGUUACUUAAAUGACAUACAUCUGUUCAUAAAUGACAUACUAAAGUCCUAAUAAGAAUCCCAAGUGGCAUCUAUAGAAUCUCCUCCAGGUGAAUAAAUUGGGGAAGUGAGAGAAACUGAAGAAGGGGCCUCAAGAAGCUGAUGGUUGGGGUUUUCUGAAGAUCCCAUUGUUUUCUGAUCCCUGAAAGGAUCAGACUCCAACUUGGUUGACCACAAGAAGGCCUGGCUAUGACAUCCUUGGGCAGUUGGGGUUAAGUGACUUGCCCAGGGUCACACAGCUAGUAAGUGUCAAGUGUUUGGUCUACGACUGGAUUUGAACUCAGGUCCUCCUGACUUCAGCCCCAUCUUUUUGGUUUAUACAAAUUAUUUUCACAGUCCGCUGUCAGAACAGCCUUUCCUUAGGCAAUACCAUCCUGAUGUUCCUGAACAUGAAAAUCACCAAUUUCCUCAUCCAUGGAGCCUGAUUUUUAACACCACCAGAAUUAGCCACCGUCAUAAUGAUACCGUCAUUGCUCCCAAACGAAUGGAGUCUUAACUGAAAUAACCCAGUUAAUGCUGUGGGCCUCAAUAGGGAUUGCCAUUCCAAAACCCCAACCCUUUAUAUUUGUUAUUUUCGGGCAGAGCCACCACAGAGCUGUCAACAACGAACUCAAGGGUAGCUAAUUAUACCUCUCCAAAAACCUACUGCAUCGCUAGGACUUGACUUUGUAUUACCAAAGAGUGGACUACGGUCGACUGUGACUUUUGAAUCAGCUUGAAAGGUGAAAAUCUUGUACUUACUCAAUUUGCUUUCCACAUGAUAGCAACAUGAAUGUGUUUUAAGUUUUGCUUUUCAACUUCAAUUUAUUUCCCCAAAAUCAGUCUCUCUCAGACCCUGACUUUCCCAUCAGAGAAAAUAAAGGAAGAAAUUACAUGA